RNAcentral lists this ribosomal RNA (434 nucleotides) under uncultured Lachnospiraceae bacterium. RNAcentral's name for it is "bacterial SSU rRNA". It matches the Rfam family "Bacterial small subunit ribosomal RNA", at positions 341 to 792 of the family's 1533-position model. The record is from RNAcentral. Lineage: Bacteria; Bacillati; Bacillota; Clostridia; Lachnospirales; Lachnospiraceae.
ACGGAAGGCAGCAGUGGGGAAUAUUGCGCAAUGGGGGAAACCCUGACGCAGCAACGCCGCGUGAGUGAAGAAGUAUUUCGGUAUGUAAAGCUCUAUCAUCGGGGACGAUAAUGACGGUACCCGAAUAAGAAGUCCCGGCUAACUACGUGCCAGCAGCCGCGGUAAUACGUAGGGGACAAGCGUUAUCCGGAUUUACUGGGUGUAAAGGGUGCGUAGGCGGCAAAUCAAGUCAGAAGUGAAAGCCCGCGGCUCAACUGCGGGACUGCUUUUGAAACUGAUUAGCUAGAGUACUGGAGGGGUAAGCGGAAUUCCUGGUGUAGCGGUGAAAUGCGUAGAUAUCAGGAAGAACACCGGAGGCGAAGGCGGCUUACUGGACAGAGACUGACGCUGAGGCACGAAGGCGUGGGGAGCAAACAGGAUUAGAUACCCUGGUA